This is a small nucleolar RNA of Macaca fascicularis (crab-eating macaque), 120 nucleotides long. NCBI's taxonomy places the organism in Eukaryota, Metazoa, Chordata, Mammalia, Primates, Cercopithecidae. The record is from Ensembl.
AUCAUUUUAAAAAAACAGAGCUUCAGAAUUCAAUGAAUAGAUGAUUGAAUGUUCACACUUAUGUGUAAGACGUGCCUCCCUCAAACUUUGUCCUGAAACAAGCACAUUGCCCAUCUGAUA